RNAcentral lists this ribosomal RNA (315 nucleotides) under uncultured bacterium. RNAcentral describes it as "bacterial SSU rRNA". It matches the Rfam family "Bacterial small subunit ribosomal RNA", at positions 1045 to 1362 of the family's 1533-position model. The record is from RNAcentral.
AUGGCUGUCGUCAGCUUCGGUGUCGUGAAGAUUGUUUGGGGUUAAAGUCCCGUAAACGAGGCGCAACCCUUGUCCCCUAGGUNGCCAUCAUUUAGUUGGGAACUUAGGGAGACUGCCGGUGACAAACCGGAGGAAGGUGGGGAUGACGUCAAGUCAUCAUGGCCCUUACGGGUAGGGCUACACACGUGCUACAAUGGCCGGUACAGAGGCCGCAAACCCGGAGGGGGAGCAAAUCUCACAAAACCGGUCGUAGGUGGAGUCUGCAACUCGANUACCAUGAAGGGGAGUUGCUAGUAAUUAAAUCAGAGGUCGCGG